Nicotiana tabacum (common tobacco) is the source of this 177-nucleotide non-coding RNA. The record is from RefSeq and is a predicted model, not a curated record. Lineage: Eukaryota; Viridiplantae; Streptophyta; Magnoliopsida; Solanales; Solanaceae.
UCACUCUUCAGACUCUUAUUCCAUUCUUCAUCACUUCUUCUUCAAAAUUCAAAGUACAAUCACUUUCUUAGAAUCUUAAACCUAUACCAAAGGCCGACUAACUUCUUUUCUCACUUCUCAAUCGACAAUCUCCAUCAAUUUCGGAUUCGAGUCGUUCAGAAGUUGACACGCGUAGAA